AUGAACGCUGGCGGCGUGCCUCAUACAUGCAAGUCGAGCGAACGGACGAGAAGCUUGCUUCUCUGAUGUUAGCGGCGGACGGGUGAGUAACACGUGGAUAACCUACCUAUAAGACUGGGAUAACUUCGGGAAACCGUAGCUAAUACCGGAUAAUAUUUUGAACCGCAUGGUUCAAAAGUGGAAGACGGUCUUGCUGUCACUUAUAGAUGGAUCCGCGCUGCAUUAGCUAGUUGGUAAGGUAACGGCUUACCAAGGCAACGAUGCAUAGCCGACCUGAGAGGGUGAUCGGCCACACUGGAACUGAGACACGGUCCAGACUCCUACGGGAGGCAGCAGUAGGGAAUCUUCCGCAAUGGGCGAAAGCCUGACGGAGCAACGCCGCGUGAGUGAUGAAGGUCUUCGGAUCGUAAAACUCUGUUAUUAGGGAAGAACAUAUGUGUAAGUAACUGUGCACAUCUAGACGGUACCUAAUCAGAAAGCCACGGCUAACUACGUG
RNAcentral lists this ribosomal RNA (496 nucleotides) under uncultured bacterium. RNAcentral's name for it is "partial 16S ribosomal RNA". It matches the Rfam family "Bacterial small subunit ribosomal RNA", at positions 29 to 507 of the family's 1533-position model. The record is from RNAcentral.